GAUGAGGACGGUAUGCCAUCUUUUUAAAAAGUGCUGUGGUGCUAUUCUCUGUAGACUGGACACACUCGCUGGAUGAAAGAAGCUCCCAAAUUACAGUAGUGAUGACAGUUGGAAAGGUAACCAAUAAAAUUUAGUGCUACUCAAUCCCAGGGCAAAGAAGACAUGAACUGAGUUGGAAUGUUAUUCAGAACACAUGAACCACAGUGGUAUUUGACUGUAGAUGGCUGAUCAUAAGGUGGUCAACAUGGUGGUUAAUUGAGCUGCUAACAAAGAACUCUAUACGGUCUUCCUCUACAGAGAUCUAUAGGCAGGUAAUACUCACUUUCCAUUACAAAUUUGCUUUCAGAAUAGACAGAGAGAGGAAAAUUAAAUUAA
Molecule: long non-coding RNA, 375 nt
Filed under: Chinchilla lanigera (long-tailed chinchilla)
Lineage: Eukaryota; Metazoa; Chordata; Mammalia; Rodentia; Chinchillidae
Description: lncRNA (ENSCLAG00000024522.1)
Source: RNAcentral